Non-coding RNA from Cydia strobilella, 72 nucleotides. The record is from the annotation of a RefSeq genome assembly. Lineage: Eukaryota; Metazoa; Arthropoda; Insecta; Lepidoptera; Tortricidae.
GGCCGGGUGGUCUAGUGGUCAGGACGUUAGCCACGUAAGCUGAAGACGCGGGUUCGAUUCCCGCCUCGGCCA